Molecule: ribosomal RNA, 1315 nt
Filed under: metagenome
Description: SSU rRNA
Rfam family: Eukaryotic small subunit ribosomal RNA
Source: RNAcentral
CCUUGGCAGCCUUGCUGUGGUCCAGGGUGCGCUUCGCCGAAACAAAAAUCAACGCCGUUUCGGCAGCUGCAACUGUUGAGGCAGGCGAAUGUCGCGAAAGCGUUCGCAUGAACGCGUUGUUGGACGAAUUUACCACCUAUCAGGUUGAAGGUAGUAUAGUUGACUACCUUGCCCUUGACGGGUAACGGGGAAUUGGGGUUCGAUUCCGGAGAGGGUGCUUGAGAAAUGGCAACCAUGACUACGGUCAGCAGCAGGCGCGCAAAUUGCCCAAUGCCAAUACUGGCGAGGCAGCGACGAAAAAUAACAACUCUGAUGCACAAAUGUGCCUCAGAGGUUGCAAUGAACUGUAUCCAGAAACACUGCUGAGUACCAAUUGGAGGGCAAGUCUGGUGCCAGCAGCCGCGGUAAUUCCAGCUCCAAGAGCGUAUAUAAAUGUUGUUGCGGUUAAAAAGCCCGUAGUUGGAUUUGAGAUCAUCGCCUGUGAGCUCUGCUCUGGGUUCAACCCCGGAAUCCAGAACUCACGCAUCGGCGAUGUUCUGUUGCAUGCGGGAAUGGCCAUCUGCCGAUAACUCUCUCGUAGAGUGUGUAGGCACUUUCGGAGUGUUUACGCUCCAAAGAUGCGCCCGCAGUCGUCACUGUGAGUAAGUCAGAGUGUUCAAGGCAACUCUCUGCUGAGUUGAAUGUUAAAGCAUGGAAUGACAAGGGAUCGACCACUAAAGGCCUCUUUUUGUUGGUUUUUAACCUUCAGUGAGGCAAACUUGUGGAAGGGCUUUCCACUUCAAGGACUUCGGUCUUUUGAAUGGACCCUUCUACGCACGGGAUCAAUAGGAGCACAGGGGGCCGUGAGUACUGGAGGGUGAGUGGUGAAAUACUGAGACCCCUCCAAGACUGACAUCAGCGAAAGCACUCGGCUAUUGUGCUUUCAUUAAUCAAGGACGAGAGAUAGGGGAUCGAAGAGGAUUAGACACCCUCGUAGUCCUUUCCUUAAAUUCUGCAGACUUGGGAUCGGUCAGCGUCUAUCAUUUCGACCUGAUCGGCACCUUCCUCCCCUAUCGAGAAAUCAAAGUCUUUGUGUUCCGGGGGGAGUACGUUCGCAAGGCUGAAACUUAAAGGAAUUGACGGAGAACCACCACCAGUCGUGGAUUGUGUGGCUUAAUUCGACUCAACACGGGAAAUUUUACCAGCACAGGACAGGGCCAGGAUUGCCAAGUUAAAGCCUUUGCUUGAUUCCCUGAAGGGUGGUGCAUGGCCGCUUCUGGUUGGUGAACGUGAUUUGUCUGCUUAAUUGCGAUAACGAACGAGAUCUCUGCCAAUC